GUCCUAGCCGUAAACGAUGAGCACUAGGUGUUGGGUCCUUCUUGGGCCCAGUGCCGCAGAUAACUCGUUAAGUGCUCCACCUGAGGAGUACGGCCGCAAGGUUGAAACUCAAAGGAAUUGACGGGGCCAGCACAAGCGGUGGAACAUGUGGUUCAAUUCGAUGCUACGCGAAGAACCUUACCCAGGCUUGACAUGCAAGGAGUAGGAACCUGAAAGGGGGACGACUCGUAACCAGUCGAGAUCUUGCACAGGUGCUGCAUGGCUGUCGU
RNAcentral lists this ribosomal RNA (269 nucleotides) under uncultured bacterium. RNAcentral describes it as "partial 16S ribosomal RNA". It matches the Rfam family "Bacterial small subunit ribosomal RNA", at positions 793 to 1055 of the family's 1533-position model. The record is from RNAcentral.